This 449-nucleotide ribosomal RNA is filed under the name uncultured bacterium. RNAcentral's name for it is "partial 16S ribosomal RNA". It matches the Rfam family "Bacterial small subunit ribosomal RNA", at positions 338 to 795 of the family's 1533-position model. The record is from RNAcentral.
CCUACGGGUGGCAGCAGUGGGGAAUUUUGGACAAUGGGCGCAAGCCUGAUCCAGCCAUUCCGCGUGAGUGAAGAAGGCCUUCGGGUUGUAAAGCUCUUUCGCAAGGGAAGAAAACUUAUCCUCUAACAUAGGAUGAGGUUGACGGUACCUUGAUAAGAAGCACCGGCUAACUACGUGCCAGCAGCCGCGGUAAUACGUAGGGUGCGAGCGUUCAUCGGAAUUACUGGGCGUAAAUCGUGCGCAGGCUGUUAAAGCCCUGGGCUCAACCUAGGAACUGCGGUUGAAACUACAAGACUAGAAUAUGGCAGAGGAGGGUAGAAUUCCACGUGUAGCAGUGAAAUGCGUAGAGAUGUGGAGGAAUAUCAAUGGCGAAGGCAGCCCCCUGGGAUAAUAUUGACGCUCAUGCACGAAAGCGUGGGGAGCAAACAGGAUUAGAUACCCUUGUAGUC